Molecule: long non-coding RNA, 593 nt
Organism: Chrysemys picta bellii (western painted turtle)
Lineage: Eukaryota; Metazoa; Chordata; Testudines; Emydidae
Source: Ensembl
UCUACUACACAUAGCUACUUAUUAACUAACUCUACUAUCUAAUUAUUUUGUUUUCUCUCUCUUUCAGACAUCACUCAUGGAGCUCCAUCUACAGCUGAGGAUGGUUGAGAAGGGACUGAGGGGGGCCGGGACGCACGAGCGCUAAUGGCGACACAAGGCACCUACUACGCAUGCACGUCCUGACCAGACAUUGCUACCAAAAGUCUCCAAUGAAUGGCGCCAGGACACACCACCUACCGUGGAGCACCCACAGGGACAGCAGUCAAAGAAGAAGUGUCAGUUCAGUACACUGAACCAGUCAGACCAUGAGAGGUAAACACAACCCUUUCUGAUGGUUUGAAGAAAUAAACUGAGAACAAAAUCAAGGAGGAUUGAGAAAUUAUAGUCAGAGCACUUAUUGGAAGAUGAUGAACUACAUGAAGUCAGUGCUGGUUUCUUGGAUGAAGGCUCCAUUGAAUGCCGGACCACGUGUCCGCAGCCAAUUUGUCGCAUCCCUCUGGCCCCUCACAUACUUCUUCAUCCCAGGUGAAGGCUCCUUAUCUGUCACAAAGCCACGUCAUUCCUCAUCCAGCAGAUGGUGUUUUCUCCCUUAA